Molecule: ribosomal RNA, 2462 nt
Filed under: human gut metagenome
Description: bacterial LSU rRNA
Rfam family: Bacterial large subunit ribosomal RNA
Source: RNAcentral
CAAAGUUAAUAAGGGCGCACGGUGGAUGCCUUGGCACUAAGAGCCGAUGAAGGACGUGACUAACGACGAUAUUCUAGGGGGAGCAGUAAGUACGCAUUGAUCCCUAGGUCUCCGAAUGGGGAAACCCAGCUGCUACUAGCAGUUAUUCAUGAGUGAAUACAUAGCUCAUGUAAAGGUAACGCAGAGAACUGAAACAUCUAAGUACCUGCAGGAAGAGAAAGUAAAAACGAUUUCGUAAGUAGCGGCGAGCGAACGCGAAGAAGGGCAAACCAAGAAGCUUGCUUCUUGGGGUUGUAGGACUGCAACGUGGACUUAAGCAUUAUAGUCGAAUAACCUGGGAAGGUUAAUCAAAGAGGGUAAUAAUCCCGUAGACGAAAUAGCGCUUAUACCUAGCAGUAUCCUGAGUAGGGCUGGACACGCGAAAUCCAGUUUGAAUCCGGGAGGACCAUCUCCCAACCCUAAAUACUCCUUAGUGACCGAUAGUGAACCAGUACCGUGAGGGAAAGGUGAAAAGAACCCCGAGAGGGGAGUGAAAUAGCACCUGAAACCGUGUGCCUACAAGAAGUUCGAGCCCGUUAAUGGGUGAGAGCGUGCCUUUUGUAGAAUGAACCGGCGAGUUACGUUAUGAUGCGAGGUUAAGUUGAAGAGACGGAGCCGUAGGGAAACCGAGUCUGAAUAGGGCGACUUAGUAUCAUGAUGUAGACCCGAAACCUAGUGACCUAUCCAUGAGCAGGGUGAAGGUGUGGUAAGACGCACUGGAGGCCCGAACCAGGACACGUUGAAAAGUGUUUGGAUGACUUGUGGAUAGCGGAGAAAUUCCAAACGAACUGGGAGAUAGCUGGUUCUCUCCGAAAUAGCUUUAGGGCUAGCGUCGAAAUGUAAGUGUAUUGGAGGUAGAGCACUGUUUGGGUGAGGGGUCCGUCUAGGAUUACCAAUCUCAGAUAAACUCCGAAUGCUAAUACACAUGUUCGGCAGUCAGACUGCGAGUGCUAAGAUCCGUAGUCGAAAGGGAAACAGCCCAGACCAACAGCUAAGGUCCCAAAAUAUAUGUUAAGUGGAAAAGGAUGUGGGGUUGCACAGACAACUAGGAUGUUAGCUCAGAAGCAGCUAUCAUUCAAAGAGUGCGUAAUAGCUCACUAGUCGAGUGACCCUGCGCCGAAAAUGUACCGGGGCUAAACAUAUUACCGAAGCUUUGGAUUGAUAUUUUAUCAAUGGUAGGAGAGCGUUCUUAACCGCGAUGAAGGUAUACCGUGAGGAGUGCUGGAGCGUUAAGAAGUGAGAAUGCCGGUAUGAGUAGCGCAAGAUAAGUGAGAAUCUUAUCCACCGUAAGACUAAGGUUUCCAGGGGAAGGCUCGUCCGCCCUGGGUUAGUCGGGACCUAAGGCGAGGCCGAAAGGCGUAGUCGAUGGACAACUGGUUGAUAUUCCAGUACUAGAUAUGAUCGUGAUGGAGGGACGCAGUAGGCUAAGAGAUGCCAGUUAAUGGAUUCUGGUCUAAGCAGUGAGGUGUGAGAUGUGUCAAAUGCAUUUCUCUUUAACAUUGAGCUGUGAUGGGGAAGCAACUACGGUUGCGAACUCUCUGAUGUCACACUGCCAAGAAAAGCUUCUAGCGUAAAGUCAUAUCUACCCGUACCGCAAACCGACACAGGUAGUCGAGGCGAGUAGCCUCAGGUGAUCGAGAGAACUCUCGUUAAGGAACUCGGCAAAAUAGCCCCGUAACUUCGGGAGAAGGGGUGCUGGUGUAAAAGCCAGCCGCAGUGAAUAGGCCCAAGCAACUGUUUAUCAAAAACACAGCUCUCUGCUAAAUCGUAAGAUGAUGUAUAGGGGGUGACGCCUGCCCGGUGCUGGAAGGUUAAGAGGAGUGCUUAGACGUAAGUCGAAGGUAUGAAUUGAAGCCCCAGUAAACGGCGGCCGUAACUAUAACGGUCCUAAGGUAGCGGGUAAGUUCCGACCCGCACGAAAGGCGUAAUGAUUUGGGCACUGUCUCAACGAGAGACUCGGUGAAAUUUUAGUACCUGUGAAGAUGCAGGUUACCCGCGACAGGACGGAAAGACCCCAUGGAGCUUUACUGUAGUUUGAUAUUGAGUACCUGUAAGUCAUGUACAGGAUAGGUAGGAGCCAUUGAAAUAGGGACGCUAGUUUCUAUUGAGGCGUUGUUGGGAUACUACCCUUGACUUAUGGUUACUCUAACCCGCUGGCAUAAUCGGCCAGGGAGACAGUGUCUGACGGACAGUUUGACUGGGGCGGUCGCCUCCUAAAGAGUAACGGAGGCGCUCAAAGGUUCUCUCAGUACGGUCGGAAAUCGUACGUAGAGUGUAAAGGCAAAAGAGAGCUUGAUUGCAAGACAUACAGGUCGAGCAAGGACGAAAGUCGGACUUAGUGAUCCGGUGGUUCCGCAUGGAAGGGCCAUCGCUCAACGGAUAAAAGCUACCCUGGGGAUAACAGGCUGAUCUCCCCCAAGAGU